This 450-nucleotide ribosomal RNA is filed under the name uncultured bacterium. RNAcentral's name for it is "partial 16S ribosomal RNA". It matches the Rfam family "Bacterial small subunit ribosomal RNA", at positions 354 to 796 of the family's 1533-position model. The record is from RNAcentral.
GUGGGGAAUUUUGGACAAUGGGCGCAAGCCUGAUCCAGCAAUGCCGCGUGCAGGAAGAAGGCCUUCGGGUUGUAAACUGCUUUUGUACGGAACGAAAAGGCUCUGGUUAAUACCUGGGGCUCAUGACGGUACCGUAAGAAUAAGCACCGGCUAACUACGUGCCAGCAGCCGCGGUAAUACGUAGGGUGCAAGCGUUAAUCGGAAUUACUGGGCGUAAAGCGUGCGCAGGCGGUUUUGUAAGACCGAGGUGAAAUCCCCGGGCUCAACCUGGGAAUUGCCGUUGGGACUGCAAGGCUGGAGUGCGGCAGAGGGGGAUGGAAUUCCGCGUGUAGCAGUGAAAUGCGUAGAUAUGCGGAGGAACACCGAUGGCGAAGGCAAUCCCCUGGGCCUGCACUGACGCUCAUGCACGAAAGCGUGGGGAGCAAACAGGAUUAGAAACCCUAGUAGUCC